RNAcentral lists this ribosomal RNA (460 nucleotides) under uncultured bacterium. Its description in RNAcentral is "partial 16S ribosomal RNA". It matches the Rfam family "Bacterial small subunit ribosomal RNA", at positions 338 to 795 of the family's 1533-position model. The record is from RNAcentral.
CCUACGGGUGGCAGCAGUGAGGAAUAUUGGUCAAUGGACGAGAGUCUGAACCAGCCAAGUAGCGUGAAGGAUGACUGCCCUAUGGGUUGUAAACUUCUUUUAUAAAGGAAUAAAACGAGGCACGUGUGCCUUUUUGCAUGUACUUUAUGAAUAAGGAUCGGCUAACUCCGUGCCAGCAGCCGCGGUAAUACGGAGGAUCCGAGCGUUAUCCGGAUUUAUUGUGUUUAAAGGGAGCGUAGAUGGGUUGUUAAGUCAGUUGUGAAAGUUUGCGGCUCAACCGUGAAAUUGCAAUUGAUACUGGCAGUCUUGAGUACAGUUGAGGUAGGCGGAAUUCGUGGUGUAGCGGUGAAAUGCGUAGAUAUCACGAAGAACCCCGAUGGUGAAGGCAGCUUACUAAACUGUGACUGACAUUGAUGCUCGAAAGUGUGGGUAGCAAACAGGAUUAGAUACCCUUGUAGUC